This 660-nucleotide ribosomal RNA is filed under the name Roseovarius sp. Its description in RNAcentral is "bacterial SSU rRNA". It matches the Rfam family "Bacterial small subunit ribosomal RNA", at positions 33 to 745 of the family's 1533-position model. Lineage: Bacteria; Pseudomonadati; Pseudomonadota; Alphaproteobacteria; Rhodobacterales; Roseobacteraceae. The record is from RNAcentral.
GUGGAUGCGGCGGCUACCAUGCAAGUCGAGCGAACCUUCGGGUUAGCGGCGGACGGGUGAGUAACGCGUGGGAACGUACCCUCUUCUGCGGGAUAGCCACUGGAAACGGUGAGUAAUACCGCAUACGCCCUUCGGGGGAAAGAUUUAUCGGAGGAGGAUCGGCCCGCGUUGGAUUAGGUAGUUGGUGGGGUAAUGGCCUACCAAGCCUACGAUCCAUAGCUGGUUUUAGAGGAUGAUCAGCCACACUGGGACUGAGACACGGCCCAGACUCCUACGGGAGGCAGCAGUGGGGAAUCUUAGACAAUGGGCGCAAGCCUGAUCUAGCCAUGCCGCGUGAGUGACGAAGGCCUUAGGGUCGUAAAGCUCUUUCGCCAGAGAUGAUAAUGACAGUAUCUGGUAAAGAAACCCCGGCUAACUCCGUGCCAGCAGCCGCGGUAAUACGGAGGGGGUUAGCGUUGUUCGGAAUUACUGGGCGUAAAGCGCACGUAGGCGGAUUGGAAAGUUGGGGGUGAAAUCCCAGGGCUCAACCCUGGAACUGCCUCCAAAACUCCCAGUCUGGAGUUCGAGAGAGGUGAGUGGAAUUCCGAGUGUAGAGGUGAAAUUCGUAGAUAUUCGGAGGAACACCAGUGGCGAAGGCGGCUCACUGGCUCGAUACUGACG